GUAACGGCGAGUGAAGCGGCAAAAGCUCAAAUUUGAAAUCUGGUACCUUUGGUGCCCGAGUUGUAAUUUGUAGAGUACCACUUUGGGACUAUACUUUGCCUAUGUUCCUUGGAACAGGACGUCAUGGAGGGUGAGAAUCCCGUAUGGCGAGGGUGUUAGUUCUUUGUAAAGGGUGCUCGAAGAGUCGAGUUGUUUGGGAAUGCAGCUCUAAGUGGGUGGUAAAUUCCAUCUAAAGCUAAAUACAGGCGAGAGACCGAUAGCGAACAAGUACAGUGAUGGAAAGAUGAAAAGAACUUUGAAAAGAGAGUGAAAAAGUACGUGAAAUUGUUGAAAGGGAAGGGCAUUUGAUCAGACAUGGUGUUUUGCGCCCCUCGCUCCUUGUGGGUGGGGGACUCUCGCAGCUCACUGGGCCAGCAUCAGUUUUUGCGGCAGGACAAAACCUUGGGAAUGUAGCUGUGCGCCUCGGUGUACAGUGUUAUAGCUCUUGGGAAUACUGCCAGCGGGGACUGAGGACUGCGAUACUUGUUAUCUAGGAUGCUGGCAUAAUGGUUAUAUGCCGCCCGUCUUGAAACACGGACC
This 579-nucleotide ribosomal RNA is filed under the name Nakaseomyces nivariensis. Its description in RNAcentral is "[Candida] nivariensis partial large subunit ribosomal RNA". It matches the Rfam family "Eukaryotic large subunit ribosomal RNA", at positions 83 to 667 of the family's 3401-position model. Lineage: Eukaryota; Fungi; Ascomycota; Saccharomycetes; Saccharomycetales; Saccharomycetaceae. The record is from RNAcentral.